Molecule: ribosomal RNA, 254 nt
Filed under: uncultured bacterium
Lineage: Bacteria
Description: partial 16S ribosomal RNA
Rfam family: Bacterial small subunit ribosomal RNA
Source: RNAcentral
UACGUAGGGUGCGAGCGUUGUCCGGAAUUACUGGGCGUAAAGAGCUCGUAGGCGGUUUGUCGCGUUGUUCGUGAAAACCGGGGGCUUAACCCUCGGCGUGCGGGCGAUACGGGCAGACGUGGAGUACUGCAGGGGAGACUGGAACUCCUGGUGUAGCGGUGGAAUGCGCAGAUAUCAGGAGGAACACCGGUGGCGAAGGCGGGUCUCUGGGCAGUAACUGACGCUGAGGAGCGAAAGCGUGGGGAGCGAACAGG